RNAcentral lists this ribosomal RNA (287 nucleotides) under uncultured bacterium. Its description in RNAcentral is "partial 16S ribosomal RNA". It matches the Rfam family "Bacterial small subunit ribosomal RNA", at positions 356 to 635 of the family's 1533-position model. The record is from RNAcentral.
GGGGAAUAUUGCACAAUGGGCGCAAGCCUGAUGCAGCCAUGCCGCGUGUGUGAAGAAGGCCUUCGGGUUGUAAAGCACUUUCAGCGAGGAGGAAGGGUAGUGUGUUAAUAGCACAUUGCAUUGACGUUACUCGCAGAAGAAGCACCGGCUAACUCCGUGCCAGCAGCCGCGGUAAUACGGAGGGUGCAAGCGUUAAUCGGAAUUACUGGGCGUAAAGCGCACGCAGGCGGUUUGUUAAGUCAGAUGUGAAAUCCCCGCGCUUAACGUGGGAACUGCAUUUGAAACUG